UUUUUUUGCCCCUAAUUCCUAAACUGUUGGGACUAAAACUCCCAAAAUCAAUCCCAACCUUCCUCUUGUGGUCAUAGACCUUAUGUUAAAAUUUCAUAGAUUUCUGUUUACUUAUACUAAAGUUAUUGUGUGAAAACCAAGAAAAAUGCUUAUUUGGACCCUUUUUGGCCCCCAAUUCCUUAACUGUUGGGACCAAAACACCCAAAAUCAAUCUCAACCUUCCUUUUAUGGUCAUAAACCUUGUGUUUAAAUUUCAUAGAUUUCUAUUUACUUUUACCUAAGUUAGAUUGCGAAAACCAAAUGUCUUCGGAAGACAACAACUGACAACGAUGACGCCAACGUGAUACCAAUAUACGACCAAAAAAUUUUCAAUUUUUGCGAUCGUAUAAAACCGAAUUCCUAAAAUAUUGGGACCAUAACCCCCAAUAUCAAUCCCAAC
Molecule: long non-coding RNA, 439 nt
Filed under: Mytilus galloprovincialis (Mediterranean mussel)
Lineage: Eukaryota; Metazoa; Mollusca; Bivalvia; Mytilida; Mytilidae
Source: RNAcentral